RNAcentral lists this long non-coding RNA (211 nucleotides) under Elaeis guineensis (African oil palm). RNAcentral's name for it is "long non-coding RNA (EGUI_LNC028867)". The record is from RNAcentral. Lineage: Eukaryota; Viridiplantae; Streptophyta; Magnoliopsida; Arecales; Arecaceae.
AACGAAGUCUGGAUCGCGAUCAACACUUGAUCUCUUUUCUUGAUCUUCUUCUUCUCCUCUUCUUUAGAAUUUCUCUCAUUGCUAUAUGCUACUACCAGAUGUUAGAAAUUAGCAAGGAAGAGGCACCCAACAACUUUUGGACGUGGGACUCCUGGGGACUCGCAUCCCAAGAGAAAGGGGGUGUGGGACGCCCAAGGGAAGAGAAAGGGAG